This 427-nucleotide ribosomal RNA is filed under the name uncultured bacterium. RNAcentral's name for it is "bacterial SSU rRNA". It matches the Rfam family "Bacterial small subunit ribosomal RNA", at positions 354 to 796 of the family's 1533-position model. The record is from RNAcentral.
GUGGGGAAUCUUGCACAAUGGGGGAAACCCUGAUGCAGCGACGCCGCGUGAGCGAUGAAGCCCCUCGGGGUGUAAAGCUCUUUCGGCAGGGAAGAAUACUGACGGUACCUGCAGAAGCAGCUGCGGCUAACUACGUGCCAGCAGCCGCGGUAAUACGUAGGCAGCGAGCGUUGUUCGGAGUUACUGGGCGUAAAGGGUGUGUAGGCGGUUCUCUAAGUUCGGUGUGAAAUCUCCCGGCUCAACUGGGAGGGUGCGCCGGAAACUGGAAGGCUUCGAGUGCGGGAUGGGAGAGUGGAAUUCCUGGUGUAGCGGUGAAAUGCGUAGAUAUCAGGAGGAACACCUGUGGUGUAGACGGCUCUCUGGACCGUAACUGACGCUGAAACACGAAAGCGUGGGUAGCAAACAGGAUUAGAAACCCCAGUAGUCC